Non-coding RNA from Gasterosteus aculeatus aculeatus (three-spined stickleback), 587 nucleotides. The record is from RefSeq and is a predicted model, not a curated record. NCBI's taxonomy places the organism in Eukaryota, Metazoa, Chordata, Actinopteri, Perciformes, Gasterosteidae.
GAGUUUAUUACUGUGUGGCCACCAAUCAGCUUGGUGAUCAAACAUCCUCAGAGAUCCAUCUGACUAUAGAAGGUAACUAAUAAAGGUGGAGUUAAUUAUCUACUAUUGGGUGCAGUUCUUGGAGGAAUCAUUGGGAUUAUCGUGCUCAUCGGCCUGGUUGUCUUUGUUUGGCGUUUGAAGUCUCCACAUCCAACUGCACAUCAGAGUCAGAAUCAGCCUGUUGGAGAGACAGUGACAACAGAAGAAGGAGGCGUCCACUAUGGAGAGAUUAACUUCUCGGGGCUCAGAUCUGGACCGUCCUCGGUCUCGGAGCAGGACGGUGGACAGCAGGAGGACACGCUGUAUGCGCAGGUCAAAGUGUCCAAGGCAGCAGACAACGUCACACGGACUGCUAACGUCCCAGAGGAUCUCUACGCUCAAGUGAAGAGAAAAUGAGCCGUUUCUUGUGGUCACAUUUGGGCUUUAUUGUUAAGAUGCUUUUUACACAAAUAACAAGCUUCAUCUGUCAGUUUAUGGAGAAAAAGAAUCGUGAGAAAAUGUAAUCUUCACUGCUCAGUUAAUUAAAGAGGAACUUCAAAGAUCCACAU